AUGGUAGAAGCAGAAGAGCUGUUCAUGGAACAGCCAAUAUGUGCUAUACCUCAAAAGGAAGAAAAGAAAAGAAAAGAAAAGAAAAGAAAAGAAAAGAAAAGAAAAGAAAAGAAAAGAAAAGAAAAGAAAAGAAAAGAAAAGAAAAGAAAAGAAAAGAAAAGAAAAGAAAAGAAAAGAAAAGAAAAAAGGAAAGGAAAGGAAAGGAAAGGAAAGAGAAUGGAAGCAGAGAGACCAAUUAAAGGGCAAUUAGACUAGUCCUAGGGAGAGGUGUUAAAGGAUUGAACUAGAAUUGUAUCCGUGAAAGUAGAUAAAAGGGAACAGAUGUGAGAGAUGAUGUAGAGGUAAUGUUGACAAAACUUGGCAAGUGAUAACUGAUAGGAUAAGAAAUUUAUUUCCAACAUCAUUUACUCUCCAAAAUUUCUCCUGACUAUAGCUUUUAUACUAGCCCUCUAAAUUUAAACCAUCCUCAUUUCUACUUCUAACCAUUGCCACUCACAUUCUAGCAAUGUCCAUUCUGAGUUCUCUUUGACCAUAUUGUAGGAACAGAGACCCUCCAAAGACAUAUUUCAUGUCUAAUUUAUCUUGUUCUCUGCUCCAUCUUGUAGACAUUGGCUUUAUACAGAAGAGCUUGACAAAUAUCUCUCGAAAAAAAUGGAUAAGGGUCAGUUGAACAAAUAGGCACAUAGAGGGGUUAACAUAACAUUAGCACCUCUCAAGGCUCAUUCUUCUAGCAAAUAUUGAGCAGGAAAAUUUGUUUGCUAUAGUACAGAAUACUACUUCUCCACACAAGUUUUUGGGAGGUAAACCAUAGAUCUUCAGCAUAAGUCCAUAUCUGGUGUUAUCUUUAAUAUCACUUAGUGAAAAUUUAGCUUUCAGAAAAAAAGGUCUUUACUGACAAGAUAUAUAGCAAGAAUGUUAUUUGCAGAAGUCUUCCCCAAUUCAGAGGCAUACUCUCCCCUUUCACAAACAUAAGGUCCCUUGGGUAAGAGGGAUCAAAAUGCAAUGGAAGUAAGAUGCACAUACACAGAGCAGGUGUGGGCAAAGGGCACCUCCUGACUAUUGGCCCCAGAAAUCAUUUUCUUGCUUUGUAGAUUGCUCAUGAAAUUUCCCUUAAAAGUAGCUCUCCACUGGCUUUUUAGGGUUCAUAUCUAGCAUUUCUCUCCAGCAAAAGGGAGGAAUAUUUGCCAUCCUCAGAAGACUGUUUUUCUACCUCUACUAGCACCUCUUCCUCUGUCAUUGACCAACAUCUCUCUGGCAGACUAUGAAACAAGUUCUGCUUGACAGUGGAAACUUUUUCAUGGCUCUUAUGAAUCCUCUAAUGUCAUCAAUAGCCUGAACACUUCUUUUCCGAAUGCUUAUUUACCUAAGUUCAGGAAAGAAUUCAAAAGAAACAGAAGUGCCACCAGUCCUACCUCCUUGAAUACACACACACACACACACACACACACACACACACACACACACACACACACACACACAGAGACCACCCCACCACCCCCUACCACCAAAGCAAUUCUUAUUUAAAAGCCAACAGAAAAUAAAAAGGGUGAGAGAUCAGCCA
This is a long non-coding RNA of Monodelphis domestica (gray short-tailed opossum), 1561 nucleotides long. The record is from Ensembl. Lineage: Eukaryota; Metazoa; Chordata; Mammalia; Didelphimorphia; Didelphidae.